RNAcentral lists this ribosomal RNA (503 nucleotides) under uncultured bacterium. RNAcentral's name for it is "partial 16S ribosomal RNA". It matches the Rfam family "Bacterial small subunit ribosomal RNA", at positions 30 to 523 of the family's 1533-position model. The record is from RNAcentral.
AUUGAACGCUGGCGGCAGGCUUAACACAUGCAAGUCGAGCGGGGUGAUGGUGCUUGCACUAUCACUUAGCGUCGGACGGGUGAGUAAUGCUUAGGAAUCUGCCUAUUAGUGGGGGACAACAUCUCGAAAGGGAUGCUAAUACCGCAUACGUCCUACGGGAGAAAGCAGGGGAUCACUUGUGACCUUGCGCUAAUAGAUGAGCCUAAGUCGGAUUAGCUAGUUGGUGGGGUAAAGGCCUACCAAGGCGACGAUCUGUAGCGGGUCUGAGAGGAUGAUCCGGCACACUGGGACUGAGACACGGCCCAGACUCCUACGGGAGGCAGCAGUGGGGAAUAUUGGACAAUAGGGGGAACCCUGAUCCAGCCAUGCCGCGUGUGUGAAGAAGGCCUUAUGGUUGUAAAGCACUUUAAGCGAGGAGGAGGCUCUUUUGGUUAAUACCCAAGAUGAGUGGACGUUACUCGCAGAAUAAGCACCGGCUAACUCUGUGCCAGCAGCCGCCGUAA